Molecule: ribosomal RNA, 250 nt
Filed under: uncultured bacterium
Lineage: Bacteria
Description: partial 16S ribosomal RNA
Rfam family: Bacterial small subunit ribosomal RNA
Source: RNAcentral
GGGGGGGGCAAGCGUUGUUCGGAAUUACUGGGCGUAAAGGGCUCGUAGGCGGCCAACUAAGUCGGAUGUGAAAUCCCCAGGCUCAACCUGGGAACUGCAUCCGAUACUGGAUGGCUUGAAUCCGGGAGAGGGAUGCAGAAUUCCAGGUGUAGCGGUGAAAUGCGUAGAUAUCAGGAGGAACACCGGUGGCGAAGGCGGUUCUCUGGGCCUUACCUGACGCUGAGGAGCGAAAGCGUGGGGAGCAAACAGG